GACGGACCGUACGAACGUUAUUCGGAAUUACUGGGCUUAAAGGGUGCGUAGGCGGCUCAGAAAGUUGAAUGUGAAAGCCCUCGGCUUAACCGAGGAAUUGCAUCCAAAACUACUGGGCUUGAGUGAGACAGAGGUGAGCGGAACUCACGGUGGAGCGGUGAAAUGCGUUGAUAUCGUGAGGAACACCGGUGGCGAAAGCGGCUCACUGGGUCUUUGCUGACGCUGAGGCACGAAAGCUAGGGUAGCGAACGGGAUUAGAUACCCCGGUAGUCCUAGCCGUAAACGAUGAGCACUGGAUCGGAGAGUCUUCCAUAACUUUCCGGUCGUAGCGAAAGUGUUAAGUGCUCCGCCUGGGGAGUAUGGCCGCAAGGCUGAA
RNAcentral lists this ribosomal RNA (376 nucleotides) under uncultured bacterium. RNAcentral describes it as "bacterial SSU rRNA". It matches the Rfam family "Bacterial small subunit ribosomal RNA", at positions 524 to 898 of the family's 1533-position model. The record is from RNAcentral.